Molecule: long non-coding RNA, 276 nt
Organism: Helianthus annuus (common sunflower)
Lineage: Eukaryota; Viridiplantae; Streptophyta; Magnoliopsida; Asterales; Asteraceae
Exons: 2
Source: RefSeq, a predicted model, not a curated record
AUUAUUGGUGUCGACAAUGUCGCUAAUGAGGAAGAAUAUGACCAGUUUGAUGAUCUACCACCAUUUUCAGUCGGUAUUCAACCAGGUAAUUACAGGAUUGAAGGCACCACAUACUUACGAUCUGACCACACGGAAGGGACGUAUUGCUGAUAAACCACAUCAAACUAAAUGAUCAAGGAUAGACAAUGAUGAAGAUAAGCCAUGUGAUAGAUGAUCUCAUUUUUAUUGGACUUUUUCUAGUGGAAACUUAGUAAAAGAUUGUUAUUUUGUGUCUAA